UACAGAGGUCUCAAGCGUUGCUCGGAUUCAUUGGGCGUAAAGGGUGUGUAGGUGGCGCCGUAAGUCAGGUGUGAAAUUUCGGAGCUCAACUCCGAAACUGCAUUUGAUACUGCGGUGCUUGAGGACUGGAGAGGAGACUGGAAUUUACGGUGUAGCAGUGAAAUGCGUAGAGAUCGUAAGGAAGACCAGUGGCGAAGGCGGGUCUCUGGACAGUUCCUGACACUGAGGCACGAAGGCCAGGGGAGCAAACGGG
This 253-nucleotide ribosomal RNA is filed under the name uncultured bacterium. Its description in RNAcentral is "partial 16S ribosomal RNA". It matches the Rfam family "Bacterial small subunit ribosomal RNA", at positions 524 to 776 of the family's 1533-position model. The record is from RNAcentral.